AGGGCUUCGGCCCCGGUACAGCGGCGCACGGGUGAGUAACACGUAGGUAAUCUUCCCUCGAGCGGGGGAUAACCUUCCGAAAGGAGGGCUAAUACCGCAUAAGACCACAGAGACGAAAGUCUCCGAGGUCAAAGCCGGCCUCUAUACAUAAGCUGGCACUUGAGGAUGAGCCUGCGGCCCAUCAGCUAGUUGGUAGGGUAAUGGCCUACCAAGGCGAAGACGGGUAGCUGGUCUGAGAGGAUGAUCAGCCACACUGGAACUGAGACACGGUCCAGACUCCUACGGGAGGCAGCAGUGGGGAAUCUUGCGCAAUGGGGGCAACCCUGACGCAGCGACGCCGCGUGAGUGAUGAAGGCCUUCGGG
This 363-nucleotide ribosomal RNA is filed under the name uncultured bacterium. RNAcentral describes it as "bacterial SSU rRNA". It matches the Rfam family "Bacterial small subunit ribosomal RNA", at positions 74 to 422 of the family's 1533-position model. The record is from RNAcentral.